GGCCUAAUGGCCCAAUGGCAAGGCGCUUGACUACGAUUUCACAUCUGUUAUCAAGAGAUUCCAGGUUCGACCCCUGGUUAGGUCA
This is a non-coding RNA of Plenodomus lindquistii, 85 nucleotides long. Lineage: Eukaryota; Fungi; Ascomycota; Dothideomycetes; Pleosporales; Leptosphaeriaceae. The record is from the annotation of a GenBank genome assembly.